CUCUUCUCUCGCCGCCUCCUGGCCUCCGCACCGACGCGGCCCGGGCUGGAGCCGAGCCGGGGCCGAGCUGCAGGCCGGACCGGAGCCGGAUCUGUACCCGCUGAGACGUGGAAACAUGGAGGCCUGAGCCGGUGUGCGCCACCUGGGCUGCGGCGGCGACAGCGACUUCUCCUGACCCCUCUGCCACCCUCCCAUCCGUCCGCGGGUCCGUGGAGCUGGAGCAGAUCCCCCAGCCGGCUGAGACAGGUUGUCUUUUGGAAAUGCAGGUUUAAGGACAAAUUAUCUGCUUAAGCUAGAAGAUGGGAUCGAAUAGCAGCAGAAUCGGCGAUCUUCCUAAAAAUGAGUACUUGAAAAAGUUAUCAGGCACGGAAUCUAUCUCUGAGAAUGACCCGUUCUGGAAUCAGCUUCUCUCAUUUUCUUUCCCUGCACCAACUAGCAGGCUGGAGUGCAAUGGUGCCAUCUCAGCUCACCGCAAUCUCUGCCUCCUGCAUUCAAGUGAUUCUCCUGCCUCAGCCUCCCGAGUAGCUGAAAUUACAGUAGUGAGUUGAAACUCUUGGAGGAAGCAACCAUUUC
RNAcentral lists this long non-coding RNA (573 nucleotides) under Homo sapiens (human). RNAcentral's name for it is "non-protein coding lnc-C18orf32-2:9". The record is from RNAcentral. Lineage: Eukaryota; Metazoa; Chordata; Mammalia; Primates; Hominidae.